This 3742-nucleotide long non-coding RNA is filed under the name Mytilus galloprovincialis (Mediterranean mussel). The record is from RNAcentral. Lineage: Eukaryota; Metazoa; Mollusca; Bivalvia; Mytilida; Mytilidae.
UAAGUUACAGUUAUAAGUGCAAGAAAAAAAACCCCAUUAAAAGUAACAUUAUUAAAGAAAAAUGUAUACAGUCUUACGAAUCUGAAUUACCUACAUGGAAACUAAUAUUUUAUUAAAAAUCUCAAAAUUUUGCACCAACUUUUUUGUAAAACGUUUUUCUUGAAAAUUAUUAUUUUCGUAUCCAAUCGUCGAGGUAAAUGCAUAAUAUUAAUUUAAAAUUAUACCACGUGAUACAAGCUGAAUUUUAAGAAAAACAGCAUCAAUUCUAUUGUAUUAUUAAACAGUUAAAAUUUGCAAUUCAUGUUUUUAAUUUCGAAAAAACGUUAUCCCAGAAUUAUGACCAAAAAAUGUGUACUCGUGAUUUUUUUUUAACAUGUUAACAAGAGAUUAUUUGAAAAUUUGUCACUUUGCUAUUUAACAAAAACGUAAUUUAAAUUAAAUCGGCAAGUUUUCACAGAGUAAAAGUUUAAAUUUCAACAUUUCUCUUUAAAAGGAUGAUAGAAUAUAUGGUCUUAUUAAUAUGAAUAAGUAUCAAUAAUUACACAUGCAGCAGAUUUAGUGCACAGAUGUUAUAAAAAUUAUUUAGGUCCAGUUUAUCAAUGUUGCUUCAUUUCAAUAUUGACAUUUUAGAACGUUUUCAUUACAUUUUACAUGUUCUAUCAGCAUGUUAAUCAGCAUAAACGCAGCAUUUUUUUUGGAGCAAAUGAUAUACUAGUACUGCAUAUGUAAAACAUAACUCAAAUACAAUGUGCUGCAUAGAAUCUGUGUCAAACCGUACCCUGCUUUUCAACAGUUGUUUUAUCACUUGAUCAUAAAAUACUCCCGUUUAAUGUGGUACGAGUAGAAUAUAGAUAUCACAAUAAGAUGUCCAUUUGUGUUAUCUAUGGAAAAAAUAAGAUCGCCCAGUCUUUAGGUAAAAUAUGCUAAACAUAAUUUCAGAUAAACUCUCUAUUUUGUCUUUCUUUUGGUGCUCCAAUACAAUUAUGUUUUUGUCAUCGCAAAUAAUUAUUUAAAACUAAUACUUUGACCAUGAUAAAACCAAAGAUUCACAUGAUAAGAGCUAUGAUACAAUACAAUAAAUAUUUUAUAAAAAAUAUGCAAAAUUAGAAUUUAAAGCGUAAAUAAUUAUAGCAAACACAAUAUAAAACAAAAGAGUUAACUUUCAAAUUAACACAUAAUAAAAACACAAAGGAUAUGGGGUAUCCUUCCAUGAAAAAAGUACAUGCACAGCAACAAAAAAAGGAAUAUACAAAAGCAACGGAACGGCGCUUUAAUUGCUGAUCUUUAUUUAAAAGUCACAGUGAGGUCUUCAACAUGGAGAAAAAAAACAUAUCAUUUCACUGCAAGUUUAUGAAGCGUAUUUAUAUUCGCAGGUAUUUAACCGAAAUAUUUUCUUCAAACCGACAUGACGCUUUAAAAAAUUAUUCACACUUGGAAAGAUUAUGAUAAAACAAGACAUUGAACGUCCAAAACAUUGUCGAAAGAUAGAGAGAAAUCUAGCUAUUGACAAUUUGUAUAAAUGAAUAGUUUGUAAACAAUCAGAAUAUAGGAAAUAGAAAUUUAAGCUUUUAAAUUGAUGACUGUUAAAUUACAUAUCACAUGGCAAAAAUUUAUCUAAUCCUCUCGUUGUUCUUAUAUUUAGACUAAUUUUCAAGACAAUAAUUUGAAAAUCACAAACUUAUCAUAAAAUUAAUGCGAUUUGCCAUUUAUUUAAAAAAAAAAACCAAACUAAACGAUGACUCAUUUUUACCUAAAUUGCAUAAAAUUUGCUUUUUUUUUAAUCUUAAAAAGGCAAUUUCAAAUGAUCGGAAAUGCAUGUAGCAUGUUCAAUCAAAACACUCAAGAUACAAAUACACAAAUAAUAUAACGCGUUAAUAUUAGGAGCAACGACAACACAAAUUAAAACUGUGUGUACAUUUUCAAAGAAACAAAUAAACCUAUUUACAUCAAGGGACAAGACCUAGUUAUGAACUAUUUUUCCAAAAUCUUCUCUAUAAAGCGUCAAGUAACUCCUCUAAACAAUCUAAACUUAAUUAGACAUUUCAAUGAUCACAAGUUGCAAAAAGACUAACACAAGAAAAUAUUUUGAAAAUAUUCAAACUGUAAGACAAUUGAUAUUCAAAUAAUUGAUGAUAAACUUGAUGAUAUUUAUGUUAAAUCGUCGUAAUAUGUUUAAUUUUAUCUGAGAAUUUCCUAAAUUUUUUUUAACUUUGAGUAAUUUUAAUAUUUUAGUCUUUUAAAAAAGGAAAAAAACGCCAUUACAUGUAAAAUAAUAUGCAAUUUUUCUUGAUAUAUCAAUUUCAAACAAUAAUCGUUGGCUCGUUGUUUUACCUGGAAAUGCCUAAUAUUUGCAUGGUACAAUGUUUAUGCAAACAUGCAUUUUCAACUGAUGAAAGGUACGUUGACCAUAAUCUAACCAAAGACCCAAUAGAGAAAACACAAAGUAAUUUGUUAUGGUACAAUAACAAAAACAUUUGAUCAACAUCAUAAUGGUAACUUAGAUAAUUAAUUAAAUCAUAUAAUAAGAGAAACCUAAAUCACGUUAUUUUUUAUCUUCAAAGAAAUUAUAAGUAUUUUCUAUCAGAAACAUACUAUUUAGUUAUCUUCAAACUUGCAUGACGCUUAAAAUAAAUCAAUGUCACGUGCAUAUUACUAAUUUUAUGUGAGACCUGUUUUGUUCUUUCACUAAAAGUUAUCAUUUAAUUAAAAAAAUUAAGGGACAAAACAUAUGCUACAUUCAACAUAUCCAGAAAUCAACGCCACUUUGCUUAUUUGAAUAUUAUACUAAAGAAAUCGGAUACGGGUCACGGAAAUUGCAUUAAAAUGAUAGGGAAUUUUGAAAAAAUGUCUGUUUUAAUUUUAAUUUAAGUGAUAGACAGGUUGCCGGGGCAGAAAAUGAAUAUACACAACAAUAUACACCAUUUAAACGAAACACAAUGACUGUUGUUGCAAAAAUACAGGUUCCUGAGCUAUUUUAAAAAUCGAAGCGAGAGGCUCUUAUCAUUGCAGUAUAAAAUACAGGCUAAAAUGGCUGAAACGUCAAAUUUGCAAACUUCGUGUUGAAAAUUGGCUUACUAGGUCAUUACAAAAACAGGUUGCCGGGGUGAAAUAUGAAACUUGAACUUCCAAAGAAUAAGCAAGUCCAAACCUUGUAUGUGUAGUUGUUGAACUUUAGGUUCCCACGUAAAAUUAAAAUGUCACUAUUUCAAGAAGAAUAAACUCACGAAAGCACGAAAAAUUCACUAAAUUCGCGUUCAUUGUUUUGAUUUUGACCGCCUGACAAAUUUACGGAAAUAUAAAAGUGAUUGUAAAUAAGGACUCUGUGACGGGCAACUUAUAAUAUCCGUGUUUUAAAGAUUUUAAUGAUAUCAAGCCUAUCAAGCCAGACCAGUUCAAAGUACUAUCACGUGGUACAAUUCUCAUUUACAUAUUAUGAAUAUUAAUUAGCAAAACCACUACUAAUUUCUGGCUAUGAUUCGUCUUGACACAUCAAUGUCGCAAAGUAAUUGUUGACCCAUCAUUUUAGCUGGACAUCGUAAUAUUUGUACAGAUCAACAUUUGCUGUUUUUAUAUUAAAAAUGUUUCUCAAUAAAAUUAACGGUACCAAUUUUCCUGUACCAGAUGCAGAUUUCAAAUGUGUUGAAUUACGUUGCCCAUGAUCAAACCAAAGACUCAAAAGAUAAAAGUAUACAGGAAUGUGCGACAUGUACGAUACAAUAAAAUAAACGUUUCAUUAAAAAAU